UCCUACGGGAGGCAGCAGUGGGGAAUUUUCCGCAAUGGGCGAAAGCCUGACAGAGCAAUACCGCGUGAGGGAAGACGGCCUAUGGGUUGUAAACCUCUUUUUUCAGGGAGGAAUUUUGACGUGUACCUGAAGAAUAAGCAUCGGCUAACUCCGUGCCAGCAGCCGCGGUAAGACGGAGGAUGCAAGUGUUAUCCGGAAUCACUGGGCGUAAAGCGUCUGUAGGUGGUUUAAUAAGUCAACUGUUAAAUCUUGAGGCUCAACUUCAAAAUCGCAGUCGAAACUAUUAGACUAGAGUAUAGUAGAGGUAAAGGGAAUUUCCAGUGGAGCGGUGAAAUGCGUAGAUAUUGGAAAGAACACCGAUGGCGAAAGCACUUUACUGGGCUAUUACUAACACUCAGAGACGAAAGCUAGGGUAGCAAAUGGGAUUAGAUACCCCAGUAGUCCUAGCCGUAAACUAUGGAUACUAGAUGUUGAACAGAUCGACCUGUGCAGUAUCAAAGCUAACGCGUUAAGUAUCCCGCCUGGGAAGUAUGCUCGCAAGAGUGAAACUCAAAUGAAUUGACGGA
This 566-nucleotide ribosomal RNA is filed under the name uncultured bacterium. RNAcentral's name for it is "bacterial SSU rRNA". It matches the Rfam family "Bacterial small subunit ribosomal RNA", at positions 337 to 917 of the family's 1533-position model. The record is from RNAcentral.